This 915-nucleotide ribosomal RNA is filed under the name uncultured bacterium. RNAcentral describes it as "bacterial SSU rRNA". It matches the Rfam family "Bacterial small subunit ribosomal RNA", at positions 60 to 965 of the family's 1533-position model. The record is from RNAcentral.
AGUCGAACGGCAGCAUGAUCUAGCUUGCUAGAUUGAUGGCGAGUGGCGAACGGGUGAGUAAUACAUCGGAACGUGCCCUGUAGUGGGGGAUAACUAGUCGAAAGAUUAGCUAAUACCGCAUACGACCUGAGGGUGAAAGCGGGGGACCGCAAGGCCUCAUGCUAUAGGAGCGGCCGAUGUCUGAUUAGCUAGUUGGUGGGGUAAAGGCCCACCAAGGCGACGAUCAGUAGCUGGUCUGAGAGGACGAUCAGCCACACUGGGACUGAGACACGGCCCAGACUCCUACGGGAGGCAGCAGUGGGGAAUUUUGGACAAUGGGCGAAAGCCUGAUCCAGCAAUGCCGCGUGUGUGAAGAAGGCCUUCGGGUUGUAAAGCACUUUUGUCCGGAAAGAAAUGGCUCUGGUUAAUACCUGGGGUCGAUGACGGUACCGGAAGAAUAAGGACCGGCUAACUACGUGCCAGCAGCCGCGGUAAUACGUAGGGUCCAAGCGUUAAUCGGAAUUACUGGGCGUAAAGCGUGCGCAGGCGGUUGUGCAAGACCGAUGUGAAAUCCCCGAGCUUAACUUGGGAAUUGCGUUGGUGACUGCACGGCUAGAGUGUGUCAGAGGGGGGUAGAAUUCCACGUGUAGCAGUGAAAUGCGUAGAGAUGUGGAGGAAUACCGAUGGCGAAGGCAGCCCCCUGGGAUAACACUGACGCUCAUGCACGAAAGCGUGGGGAGCAAACAGGAUUAGAUACCCUGGUAGUCCACGCCCUAAACGAUGUCAACUAGUUGUUGGGGAUUCAUUUCCUUAGUAACGUAGCUAACGCGUGAAGUUGACCGCCUGGGGAGUACGGUCGCAAGAUUAAAACUCAAAGGAAUUGACGGGGACCCGCACAAGCGGUGGAUGAUGUGGAUUAAUUCGAUGCAACGCGAA